ACAUUAGCCCACUGCAUCAGAACUUACUACCACCACCUCUUUGCUGCUACAGAAAUGAGCGUGUUUUUAUAAGAUGAUGGAAGUAAACGGAGGGGCCUUCAAAUCGCACGGUAAAACUAUCCACGGAUAGUAAGAAGCCGAAGAAAUCUGAAGGGAAAAUCGCCAUCGGUUCAGAAUUCGGUCUUGCUGACAUCCUGAGCAGAGGCUUUUCUCCAGUCCACUCACAAUGUAAGAUACCAGCAAUAAUUUGCCCAUUUAUACAGGUGGGUAACUUCACUACAGCUACUGAGGGUAAAUAGGUUGCUUACGGCUACUACAGCUAGAGGCGGGAAUUGAACCUACAACCUGCCUGGGGCUAUUAAUACGGGCGCGAGUGGGGUCACAGCACACUGUUUUACACUACAGCAAGGUGGACAUGAAAGGACCUGGAUCUGUCUCAGGAUCAGGAUUUUAGAGAGACGAGUCGUAACUUAAGCCCUACAGGCAUUACCCAAAGAACUUCACCCUGAAUUACUCCAGUAAAAUACGCAUCUUAUAUAAAUGGCUUCGAUACUGUGAAUCGCACCGACAAAAGCGUCAUCUAGUCUACAAACGAAUGACAGUAAACACGUAUUGCGUCUUUCCGUGAAUUAAAGCGUUUUACUUCUAUUGGCUGCGUCGUGCCAUAUGAUCAAACGGCGCUGUCUGAUUGGUUCUCUCGGCUCUUCCCUUCCAAUCGUAGACGUCAGUAUUUGAAAACAUGGCGGUCCCGUAUUUGUCUCUAACGGAAGAGUGGAUCCGGGAGAAGGUGCAGCUCCAGCACAAGUGUUUAGCCGAUGUCAGGUCCCUGUGUCUCCCUGGGACGUACGAGGGAAAGAUCGGCCACCUGGGCUCCUCUCUCAAGAACUUUGUUCGCCUGAAGCUUCUGGACCUCUCCUACAAUGCUCUCGUCUCUCUUGAGGGCAUUCAGCACUUGAAGAUGCUGGAGAUACUCAGCUUGUACUACAAUAGAAUCUCAUCCCUGUCGGAGGUUCGGUCCCUCUGUAAACUGAAGGCCUUGAGGGAGAUUGAUCUGAGACUUAAUCCAGUAGCCAAGAACAGCCCGGACUAUCGCCUCUUCCUUGUGCAUGAACUGCCUGACCUACGUAAGAUUGAUGACUGUCCGGUGAGAGAUAGGGAAAGAAAAGCAUCCAUACUGCAUUUUUCUUCAGAUGUGACAUUUGAACCCUGUCAGGCAACCCCUUUUCCAUCAGGUGAAAGGAAUGACCAGUCAAGGGUGGCCUUGAUGAGACAGAUAACCAAGAAGCGCAGUUUCUUGGACGACAGUGAUGAAGCUGUGCUUAACCUGGUUGCUAAGAGCAACCUGCACUUAGGGGAACCAUCAUCCCUGCCUGUUUCCACUAAUAAGGAGCUCAGAUGCCAGCUCUACAACUUACAGGAUGACCAUGAGGAAGAUAAUGAUAAGGAUAGUGCUGAAAGUUUCCAGCCUUCAAAACAAGACCCAGCUAAACCCAUCCUUGGGCACAAUUGUAGAAGAGAAAAACAUGGAGUCCAGCCCUCAAGGGUCACGUCUUCCAGUGAAGGUGACCGUGUAGUAGGAACUGGCCUCCGUGUGGGGGUUUCCUUCGCUGAAUCCUUGCAGAAAAGCUACUCCAAGGCUUCUGAGGAGGAGGGGCAGCAUGGGGUCCAGAUACAGCCCAGAAUUCCUGCUCAGUGGAACUUCACCCCAAAGCCUGAAGAUGCUCCACUUCCUUCCAGUCAUUCCCUAUCCACAAAGACUCAGGCUUCCAACGUUCACAGCCCCAGGUCUGAGGGUGCCUUCACCUCGCUGUCCCGUUCUCCCAGACCAACCUGCAGUAGAUCGAAUGACAGACAUCGCUUAGAACGGUUCCUGCCUCCAGCGGAGGAGAACACCAAACAACGUGAAACCACCCUAUCCCACAGUUCCGGAAAACAUUUAGCUGUACUACUGGAACUGGUAGAUAAGCACUGGGAUGGCAAGGGCUCUCUUCGGUCUAAUCACAAAUUCCUCUCUCAAGCUGUUCAGAUCCUUUCAAAGAUGGAACAAGCCACCGCUGGUCCUCAACAGGAUGUUACGCGUACGACUGAGAACAUCCAGAUUCUGAAUGAACAAAGACGGAGAGAAGAGAAGGAGUAUCGGUCAGAGAUCCAAAACCUCCACAGGCAUCUGGAAGAAGCUCGAAGUUCCAUUGAAGAGUUAAACCGACAGCUGACUGAUACCUUGGAGGAGAACUUGUCUUUGCAGAAACAGCUUAUUAAAUCAGAGCAACGAUGGUUGAGCUGGCAGAUGAAUGGUUCGCCUGAGGUUAUUGGAAACCAGAGCACAAAUGAACAUCUGAAGAGAGAGGUGGAGGAGCUCAAAGAGACAAUCCAGCAAGCAGGAAAGGUACAGGAGUUGGCUGAUAUGCUGCAGGAAAGUCACAGGCAAGUGUAGCCCCCUGACAGCCACGAUGGCUCCGCUGUGACAUUGAUCUGGGUCUGAAUCUUUCCUGUACCUGUAUUGUUGUCGGCGACAAGGAGUUGCAGGCUGUGCAGACCCGGUUUACGUUCCCUGAGAUUGUUGAGGUAGCUGGUUUUCCACCCUCUUGUUGACCACACCAGCAUGUACAUUCAGUUGGAUCAAGACUGGUUGGAAUCAGGAGACAGGUCGCUGGUUUUCACCAAUGAGCGUCUGCUCUCGGAGCUGGCGGAGACCAAGGCUCGCCACAGGG
RNA transcript from Scleropages formosus (Asian bonytongue), 2711 nucleotides. It is a transcript of the gene named centrosomal protein 72, with no coding region annotated. The record is from RefSeq and is a predicted model, not a curated record. The transcript is spliced from 14 exons. Lineage: Eukaryota; Metazoa; Chordata; Actinopteri; Osteoglossiformes; Osteoglossidae.